UACGGAGGGGGCUAGCGUUGUUCGGAAUUACUGGGCGUAAAGCGCACGUAGGUGGAUUGUUAAGUCAGGGGUGAAAUCCCGAGGCUCAACCUCGGAACUGCCUUUGAUACUGGCAAUCUCGAGUCCGGGAGAGGUGAGUGGAAUUCCUAGUGUAGAGGUGAAAUUCGUAGAUAUUAGGAAGAACACCAGUGGCGAAGGCGGCUCACUGGCCCGGUACUGACACUGAGGUGCGACAGCGUGGGGAGCAAACAGG
This 253-nucleotide non-coding RNA is filed under the name uncultured bacterium. RNAcentral's name for it is "partial 16S ribosomal RNA". It matches the Rfam family "Bacterial small subunit ribosomal RNA", at positions 524 to 776 of the family's 1533-position model. The record is from RNAcentral. RNAcentral also lists the same sequence under 1 other name.